GGCACCACAACAGGUGGAGCCUGCGGUUUAAUCGGACUCAACGCCCGGGGAAAACUCACCAGAUAAGACAGCUGAAUGAUAGUCGGGCUGAAGACUCUACUUGACUAGCUGAGAGGAGGUGCAUGGCCGUCGUCAGUUCGUACUGUGAAGCAUCCUGUUAAGUCAGGCAACGAGCGAGACCCACGCCAACAGUUGCCAGCUCGUCCUCCGGGAUGGUGGGGACACUGUUGGGACCGCCUCUGCUAAAGAGGAGGAAGGAAUGGGCAACGGUAGGUCAGCAUGCCCCGAAUUAUCUGGGCUACACGCGGGCUACAAUGGGUGGGACAAUGGGUAUCGACACCGAAAGGUGAAGGCAAUCUCCUAAACCCAUCCGUAGUUCGGAUUGUGGGCUGCAACUCGCCCACAUGAAGCUGGAAUCUGUAGUAAUCGUGUCUCAAAAUGGCACGGUGAAUAUGUUCCCGGGCCUU
Molecule: ribosomal RNA, 467 nt
Filed under: uncultured Methanomicrobiales archaeon
Lineage: Archaea; Methanobacteriati; Methanobacteriota; Methanomicrobia; Methanomicrobiales
Description: bacterial SSU rRNA
Rfam family: Archaeal small subunit ribosomal RNA
Source: RNAcentral